This 253-nucleotide ribosomal RNA is filed under the name uncultured prokaryote. RNAcentral's name for it is "partial 16S ribosomal RNA". It matches the Rfam family "Bacterial small subunit ribosomal RNA", at positions 524 to 776 of the family's 1533-position model. The record is from RNAcentral.
UACGGAGGGUGCAAGCGUUGCUCGGAAUUAUUGGGCGUAAAGGGCAGGUAGGUGGUCUUAUUUGUCAGGGGUGAAAGCCUUGGGCUUAACCCAAGAAGUGCCCCUGAAACGGUAAGACUAGAGUGCUAGAGAGGUAAGUGGAAUUCCCGGUGUAGCGGUGAAAUGCGUAGAGAUCGGGAGGAACACCAGAGGCGAAGGCGGCUUACUGGAUAGCAACUGACACUCAACUGCGAAAGCGUGGGGAGCAAACAGG